GACCUGAUGGUGUAGUGGUAACAUGCCUGCUGAAUUUCCAUCCCAAAACAAGUGCAGUAAGCAGGAGACUCUGGUUUGAACCCGGGUCAGGUCA
Non-coding RNA from Mycena leptocephala, 94 nucleotides. Lineage: Eukaryota; Fungi; Basidiomycota; Agaricomycetes; Agaricales; Mycenaceae. The record is from the annotation of a GenBank genome assembly.